RNAcentral lists this ribosomal RNA (253 nucleotides) under uncultured bacterium. RNAcentral describes it as "partial 16S ribosomal RNA". It matches the Rfam family "Bacterial small subunit ribosomal RNA", at positions 524 to 776 of the family's 1533-position model. The record is from RNAcentral.
UACAGAGGGUGCGAGCGUUAAUCGGAGUUACUGGGCGUAAAGGGCGCGUAGGCGGUUAAGAUAGUGUGAUGUGAAAGCCCUGGGCUUAACCUAGGAAGUGCAUCGCAAACGACUUAACUGGAGUAUAAGAGAGGGUGGUGGAAUUUCCGGUGUAGCGGUGAAAUGCGUAGAGAUCGGAAGGAACGUCGAUGGCGAAGGCAGCCACCUGGCAUAAUACUGACGCUGAGGCGCGAAAGCGUGGGGAGCGAACAGG